AUUGAACGCUGGCGGCAUGCUUUACACAUGCAAGUCGAACGGUAACAGGGUGCUUGCACCGCUGACGAGUGGCGAACGGGUGAGUAAUGCGUCGGAACGUGCCGAGUAGUGGGGGAUAACGCAGCGAAGGUUGUGCUAAUACCGCAUACGUACUGAGGUAGAAAGUGGGGGACCUUCGGGCCUCACGCUAUUCGCGCGGCAGACGUAGGAAUAGCUAGUAGGUGAGGUAAAGGCUCACCUAGGCGACGAUCAGUAGCGGGUCUGAGAGGAUGAUCCGCCACACUGGGACUGAGACACGGCCCAGACUCCGACGGGAGGCAGCAGUGGGGAAUUCUGGACAAUGGGCGAAAGCCUGAUCCAGCCAUGCCGCGUGUCUGAAGAAGGCCUUCGGGUUGUAAAGGACUUUUGUCAGGGAGGAAAUCCCUAGUGCUAAUAACACUGGGGGAUGACAGUACCUGAAGAAUAAGCACCGGCUAACUACGUGCCAGCCGCCGCGGUAA
Molecule: ribosomal RNA, 500 nt
Filed under: uncultured bacterium
Lineage: Bacteria
Description: partial 16S ribosomal RNA
Rfam family: Bacterial small subunit ribosomal RNA
Source: RNAcentral